RNAcentral lists this non-coding RNA (21 nucleotides) under Caenorhabditis elegans. The record is from RNAcentral. Lineage: Eukaryota; Metazoa; Nematoda; Chromadorea; Rhabditida; Rhabditidae.
UCCUGGGAUUUCAAUUUCAAA